Non-coding RNA from Taeniopygia guttata (zebra finch), 3603 nucleotides. NCBI's taxonomy places the organism in Eukaryota, Metazoa, Chordata, Aves, Passeriformes, Estrildidae. The record is from RefSeq and is a predicted model, not a curated record.
CGCAGGCGGGGCCGCGCCCGGCGGCGGGAGCGCGCUCGGCGGCGGGAGCUGCGGUCCCGCCGGGGCACGGCCAUGGAGCCCUCGCCCAAAGACGGCGAGAGCGCGGCGGCCGCCGAGCCCGGCCGGAGCGGCACGGCCCCGUCCAGCGGGGUGGUGGUGCAGGUCCGGGAGAAGAAGGGCCCCCUGCGCGCCGCCAUCCCCUACAUGCCCUUCCCCGUGGCCGUCAUCUGCCUCUUCCUCAACACCUUCGUGCCGGGGCUGGGAACGUUCGUGUCAGCGUUCACCGUGCUCUGCGGGGCCCGCACCGACCUCCCGGACCGGCACAUGUGCUGUGUCUUCUGGCUGAACAUCGCCGCCGCCCUCAUCCAGAUCCUCACGGCCAUCGUCAUGGUGGGCUGGAUCAUGAGCAUAUUCUGGGGCAUGGACAUGGUCAUUCUUGCAAUGCUAUUUCCCAGGCAUGGAAAGGGGGAAUCUGGUCUGAGGAUAAUGGCAAACUGUCCUUAAUGAGGGAAAAAGGAGAAGAAUUACAGGCCAAUCAGUCUCACAAGGCUACAAGGAACAGGGGAUCCCACAGCAGCUGUAGUGGCUGGGACAAGUAUGGUCAGAGAAACACGGCGACAGAUUUCCUUUGGCAGCCGUGGGCCACGGACCUUUUCAUUACCCUUUGUCUCUCUUCUUGUCCCCUUUGUUUUGUCUCCUUGUGUCUGCCCGGUUCACCUGCCCGUCCAGCGGAGCGGAGAUGCAGAGCAGCCGGCGCAGACUUGCACUGAUGCCCCUGAGCAGCGGAGAUGAGGCAAGCACGGCUUGGCUUGGACUGGUCCUGGCCAGCACGCGGGGGGCGGCCGACGAGGACGAGGGUGCCAGGACAAGGAAACACCCUUGGCGAAGGUGGCACCUAGGCAGGCAGCUGAACCAAGGGAGAGGGAGAUCCUGCCUUCCCUCUGCUCCCAGGGGGAGGUCGCUGAAGAUGUUUUGCCUCCUUUUUAUGCUUGCUGUUAAAGGACGCUGGCUGUGAACAUCAAAUGCCAAGGAGCUAUUCAUAGAUGUAUGUACAGGAUGUAAAAGCAAAACAGUGGCUCUUUUUUCCCCACCCUGAGAUUCCAUCCGUGACUGCUUUGCAGUAGUGGAGGGUCCAACCCAGGCUCCUCUGCUGUCUGUGUAUAUAUGAUGUUCACUGAAGCUCUGUCCCCACAGAUGUCUUGAGAAACGUGCUUGCUGUAAAUCAUAUUGUACCGCUGAAGUGACUGGGGCCAUCCCCUGCUUCCAUCCGCUGCCACCAUGCAAAGACCAGAGCUCCCACCAGCCCAGGGAACACUUUUCCUAGCACAGGACUGGUGUCCUGCAGCACCUCGCCUGUAGAGCAGCAAGUACUGCCAAAAGCCUCUCAUAUAAAACAGUACUGGGGAGUCAAAGAAUGAGACUUUUCCUGCCCCUGAAAGGGACUUGCUAGCAGUGUCUCCAUGCUUUGAAAAUGGAUCCCCUUAGAGCACAAUGAGUGCUCCUGGCUGAAGCAGCAUCCCAGCUCUGCUUCCCCAGGGUAAAAUUAACGACCCAGCGCUUUCACACCUCCUUCCGAAGCAUUGCAGAGGGGACAACGCCUCCACCGGGGCUGGAUAACUCCCCUCCCUCCCGUGGGAGCUGUGCCUGUGACCAGCUGCAAACAGCACAGCCAGAGGGCACAGCCCGAGCCCUUCCUGUGGUCCCAAGUGCAUGGCCCCCAGCUAUCCCAGCACCAUCACCUGCUUUGUAAAUGUAGAUGUUUGACAUGCAAGUUUUACAGCUAAAGAGUGAUGUGGGUAAUGAAGAAUAAAUGCAGUUGCUUCACCCCCAUCUGCCAGCAACACAGAAUUUUCUGCUGCUCCUUUCUGAUUGUGAAAACCAGGUUUCUCAAAACCAAAUCAAACCAAAACAACAACCAAAACCAAAAAAGGGCUUUAAUGAAAUAGCUUCUUGGUACUUGAACCCAGCUGGGCUGAACAACUGAUUUACUACUCAUUGGAAAGCAAUUCUAGGUAGGAACCAACUCAGUGAAAAAACAGCUUCAUCCUGGGUCAGCCCCCAUUGCAGCACAGGGCACAGGACCAUUUUCCCAAGUUCAUUGGUGUUGCCAAAUCCAUAUUUACCAUGGAGAAGAUGCUUUGGCGGGUGACUCCCACCCUCCCAGCCUUUUGCCUGGCUGGCCAUACUGUUCCUCUCAGCUGUGGCAGUCAGAGCAAAGAAGGUCACUGGGGCUUUGUGCUGGGAGCAGCUCUGGCACAUGGAGCCAUGGGGUCAGGAGAGUUAGAUGUGAGAGGGGACUCCACCUUCCCAGGACACAAAGCUGCAUGUCCCUCCUCCUGUGCACUGACUUUCAGACAUUUUAUUAAAGACCUUCCAGUUGUGCUGGAAAUUGCCCAUUAAGUCUUGCUGUUGUUGUGCUGAGCUCUGUGGACAGGAAGCUGAAGCUCACAGACCCAGUAUUCUUCAGAGGGCUGUUUUAUUCCUUGCCUCCUGCUUGUUCUGGGCUGACUCUGCAGUUCACAGACAUGCAUACACUCCAGCCAGGGUGCAUUUUAUUGCUACCCAGCCCAAACUGCAUCCACUGCAAGAUACCACCAGGAGUUCCUUGACAUCUAAACCCCAGGUACAAGGAGACCCUGGCUAGAUCUGACACUCCUCCCAGGUAAAAGCAAUGUCUUGUCCCACACACUUGCUAACCAUGGUGUGGCAACACAGCCCUGUAUUUUCCAGCUGACUUUGCUUCAUGCUCACACACACUAUGCACUUUGAAGCAGUGCUGCAAUUUAUUUCCCAAACUGGCCCUCAGCAUUCCCAUCCCCCUGUGGGAGCAGGAUGGUGCAAAACCACAGGUCACAGUGGCACCAUCUGAACCAGGGUUAAUUACAGUUUAUCCCACCAGAGUUCAUGCUACCCACAACCCAUCCUUCCUCCUCUUGUCAUCUGUACAAAUACCUAAGUCAGGCUAAAAGUCAAGUCCUGCUUCUCUUGCACCCACCCAACUGGCCAGAGGGAAGCAACAACGCCCUGUCCCCACUGCUGGAAUGGUGCAGUGGGAAGUGAAGGUUUUGUUCAGGCUCUAAGAAUGGCAAAGGCCAGAGUAGCUCAAUCCAUCUUCCAGCUCUGAGAAUGCUUUCAACAGGCAGGUGAAAGGGAAUGGCACAUUCUGGCCUGGGAUCAAAAUGGGCUCACCUCUACCAGCACUGCUGGAGGUGAUGGCAGUGCUCCCCCAGACACCCAGCAAGUGAUCCCACCCUGGCCCCUAUCUCUCCUUCAGCCACCACACACCGGCACAGGCACUGCUCCCAACGCUGGGAGGGAGAUUGCUGGCUCAAGUCUGUGUUCUCCUUGGUUUUGGCCAUGCAUGGGUACCUCAGAUUUUCCACCUUUGGAAGGAGGGAGCUGGGGCCUGCCCACCUGUGCUGCUUGCACCUUGCUGGUGAGCCCACCUUUCAUUUUCGUACUGGAGGCCAAACUGAGGGGUUGCAGAGGACCAUUUGUAUGCCUGUUUAUAUCACUGAGUAUUGGAUUGUGACUUCUUGUGUUUUGAUACUGUGGAUAUAUUUUUUUUUAAGUUAAAUAUAUUCUAUUGCUGAACAGCUGGAA